This 446-nucleotide ribosomal RNA is filed under the name uncultured bacterium. RNAcentral describes it as "partial 16S ribosomal RNA". It matches the Rfam family "Bacterial small subunit ribosomal RNA", at positions 29 to 523 of the family's 1533-position model. The record is from RNAcentral.
AGCGAACGCUGGCGGCAGGCUUAACACAUGCAAGUCGAACGCCCCGCAAGGGGAGUGGCAGACGGGUGAGUAACACGUGGGAACGUACCCUUUGGUUCGGAAUAACUUGGGAAACUCAAGCUAAUACCGGAUAAGCCCUUAUGGGGAAAGGUUUACUGCCGAAGGAUCGGCCCGCGUCUGAUUAGCUAGUUGGUGAGGUAAUGGCUCACCAAGGCGACGAUCAGUAGCUGGUCUGAGAGGAUGAUCAGCCACACUGGGACUGAGACACGGCCCAGACUCCUACGGGAGGCAGCAGUGGGGAAUAUUGGACAAUGGGGGCAACCCUGAGCCAGCCAUGCCGCGUGAGUGAUGAAGGCCUUAGGGUUGUAAAGCUCUUUUACCCGGGACGAUAAUGACUGUACCGGGAGAAUAAGCCCCGGCUAACUUCGUGCCAGCAGCCGCCGUAA